RNAcentral lists this small RNA (430 nucleotides) under Pan troglodytes (chimpanzee). Its description in RNAcentral is "retained intron". Lineage: Eukaryota; Metazoa; Chordata; Mammalia; Primates; Hominidae. The record is from RNAcentral.
UCCUCUGGUUCUUGGGUACAAAGAUACCCUCUUCUCUGAGACUCUCUUUUCUCAGUCUUUUCGCCGGUGUUUGGCAGCAAAGGAUCCGAGGAGGAAGCUGUUGGUUGAGCCUCCCUGAUUCUUUGGCUCAAUUUGGAAGUUCUCUUAGGGGAUUGGGAGGUCAGGAGGACGUGGGUCCCCCACCCCUCUCUUCCCCCUAUACAUGGGUGUGAAUCAAAGGCCCCCUUCCCCUCGGGAAGUUCUUUUUCUCCCCUAGACUCUUCACUGCCUGAGGACAUUCCGGUUUUUACUGCUGCAGCAGCUGCUACCCCAGUUCCAUCUGUAGUCCUAACCAGGAGCCCCCCCAUGGAACUGCAGCCCCCUGUCUCCCCUCAGCAGUCUGAGUGCAACCCCGUUGGUGCUCUGCAGGAGCUGGUGGUGCAGAAAGGCU